GGGAGACGCUCUCCUGGCGCCAGAGAAGGUGACACAAAUCAAGGGGGAACUAAGGCACUAUAUGCCAGGGGUAUAUAGUGAGGAGUAGCAGAUCCUUUCAGCUGGGGGCUCGCUCCGGGAUCGAGAAGGUUAACCCCUAAAGCUCCGGAACCAACUCAUCCCUUCGAAGUGGGAGACAUAGUGCUGGUCAAAGCACUGUGAGGAAAGAAGUCCCAGGCUGACUUUUCCUACGGUCCCCCGACCUCUGUGGUAGCAGUAACUCGCACAGCUGUACUCACUGACGAUUCCCCUACCUGGAUCCAUGCCGCUAGGAUCAAGCUGUACCAGAAGAAAGCAGUGAAAGGGGUACUAACGGGGGCAGACAGCCCUGACCUGAAGACCCAACCAGAGGUACUAACGGGGGCAGACAGCCCUGACCUGAAGACCCAACCAGAGGUACUAACAGGGGCAGACAGCCCUGACCUCCAUCUCCUAGCGAAGUUUGAAGAGUUCUGGAAUCAUGUGGAAACAACAUUGCCUGGUGCUCCCAUCAUGGUCAAUAACCUUAUUGACUUUAUUGACUAUUAGCUGCACUCAGGGGCAAGUAGGCAACACUUGGGAGGGCGGGAUCUCUGUUCUAUGGUAUAACUUCACAUCCUCAAGAGUUGUUUCCUGGCU
Long non-coding RNA from Hyla sarda, 657 nucleotides. RefSeq lists it as uncharacterized. The record is from RefSeq and is a predicted model, not a curated record. NCBI's taxonomy places the organism in Eukaryota, Metazoa, Chordata, Amphibia, Anura, Hylidae. The transcript has 3 exons.